Molecule: unclassified non-coding RNA, 694 nt
Filed under: Hevea brasiliensis (rubber tree)
Lineage: Eukaryota; Viridiplantae; Streptophyta; Magnoliopsida; Malpighiales; Euphorbiaceae
Source: RNAcentral
UGUUUAAACCGAUAUCUGCUCACCCCUAAUCAGGAGGAAUGGAGCAAUCUUGACAUUUCACAAAUAAUUAACAAUUAAUUGGGCUCAAUUUAAUAGAAAGACCAAUUUAUUAACAGAAGUAAAAUAUAAAGACUAAAUCAUUACCCAAACGUAAAACAAGGAUUAACAUGCCUCAAGGACUUGGUUGUAAAUGACCAUAAUAAAUAAUAUUAAUGAGACUUAGUUCAAUGGUACUGGAGUCACCUCAAGGAUUAAUUGAGUUUGAAUUUCAAUCGAAACUAAUUAUAUUAAAAAAAAAUAAUGAAUAACAAGCCAAUCAAAGCCUCUAACUAGAAACGUUACUUACUAAAAACUAAAGAAGCAAUGUUAUGGAGCUAACAUUGAUGCAUCUACUCCUGCAAUCUAUAAUUGCUCCUUUAUUGCUCUUGUCAAGUAAGAUUGAUACGUGUUGUUUAAGUAAAAAGAUGAGCUUAUGAGUUUUAGCUAUCAGUUAGAGAGUUGUUAAGCUAUUAGUUAGCGAGUUAGAGGUGGUUAUUACUUAAAUAUAUAUAAAUCUCUAAUUGUAGAAUGAAAUUACCCUUCUCUCUGGAUUCUUUUCUCUUAUUUGAGUUUUCUUCUUCUUUUCUCUCUAUUUUUAAUUGGAAUUGCAUCAAUGGUACCAAAGCAAGUUGAUCCUCAGCCAUGGUGGAUUUAC